UCGAGCAUCCCUUCCUUUCUCUGGCACAUUUGACGAAAAAGGCAUGUACUGUGGCCCCUAGGAAAUCCACCGUUCAUCUGCCUCCACCUCCCCGAUAAUAACAACCUCCACCUCCAGCAACAGUAACAACCACCGUCCAUCACUGUGCCCCGGAAAGAACGGGGAAGGAGACGAGGCUGUUUCCAAACGCCUCUUACAAGCAGAUGAAAAGUGAACAAUGCCAAAUUAGCCCGAGGUGGACACAGGCAGCAUACACACAGAGAAGGACACACACAGACAAAUGCGGGCAGUUUCCUCACAUUCCCCCCCUCUCUCUCUCUAAUUUAAUCUAUGUAUAUACACUCAUAUACAGCUCAAGAGACGCCGAGAGCUCCAAGAGCGCGGGGAAAUACACGGAGAAAGCCUUGCCUAAAUAUAGCCUGGAGCUCUGUCUUCGCAGAAGAGAGAGUGCCAAUGCAGAGGCCAGCAACUUUGGAGGUGGCGCUGGGAGGAAGUCAGGCUGGCCGGGGAGCGGAGCGCGGAGCAGCCCACCUCCACAUCACUGUUCAUAUCUGCCUCUUGAGCAACUUCGGAAUAAAGGCUGAUUUUCUUCCUGCUUUCCGACGGCGGGAUUUCGGAGGAGACAGUGCUUUCGCUGCUUGGAUGCUGGAGAUUGAAUAAAGUGUCUAUUUCAAAUUUGCCUUUGGCGGAGAUGUCCCCUAUAGCGCUGUGCAGGGAGGCGGCAGUCAGUCUCGGGCUGAGGCGACCACUGUGCGGAGAAUUUUCAAGGGCCUCCAACACCGCAUUUCCAGCUGAGUCUGACAAAUUCGAGAGCCUUUUGCCAGCUGUAGGGCUGUGCAGCCCUCUCUCCAUCAGGAUCAUCUCUUUUCUUAUUCUUUCCAUCAUCUCAGCUUUAUAAAAAAUGUCAAAGUUGCAGGGCUGGUCCUGUACUAAUGAUGAGCUGCAGCAGGGGCUAAUUCACAUUCAGCCCGGCAAGUGUCUCUAAAUAUUAUUAUCUCUUUUUGAGGGAGGUGUAAAAAUUGUGGGAUGCCAAAGCGAGGGAAUGACUGGUCAAAAUGACCCAUACAUCCUUUCUAGCCCGAAAUGUCAUUCAUCAAAAAGUGGUGCUCGUCAUUAAGGUACGAAUGACGCUGUUCGAAUAAUCAUUUAUUGUAACAGGUUUAUAAGCAAAUAAAUACAAGCUCCUGUCAGUGCAUAAUGAAGGCGGCUUCAGAGCAGACAAAUAUAUCCAGGUGGAAAGAAAGAAAGACAAGAAGUGAGGAGUAAAGCUCCUGUCCUUAGCUUGAUCAGAUCCUGCUUGAAUUGCUCUGGGGUUUGGCCUCUGGGGUGGAAUUGACAGUCUGAUUAAUAAAAUGAGCUGUGCAACAUUUCCCCCUUCAUUUAGGUGCAUCAUUAUGCUCUGAUUUUUGUUUUGUUGCCUUUUAGGUCCUAAUGAUGCAGCUUCUUUCUCAUUUGUCCUCGGACAGAACUACACGCUAAAUAUUAGAUAAUGCUUUUCUUUAUUAUUAUUUCUGAGACGAAUUUUAUAUCACAAUACAAGGAAAUACUGGAAGAGGACCAGAGGAGAGAACCUCCUGCCGCUGAUAUCUCUUUACUUUUCCCUCCCAUUUCCAGCCAACGUUAGUACUUUUAUUUAGGAAUUUACACUGACACCCCCACGCACCCCCUCACACGAGCGAACCUUAUCCCCAGACUUUAUAAGUCUGCUGCCCAGAUUCAAAUGUACCUACAGUAGUUACCUGGAGAUUAAAAUAUUUGCUACAAUCU
Oenanthe melanoleuca is the source of this 1767-nucleotide long non-coding RNA. RefSeq lists it as uncharacterized. The record is from RefSeq and is a predicted model, not a curated record. NCBI's taxonomy places the organism in Eukaryota, Metazoa, Chordata, Aves, Passeriformes, Muscicapidae. The transcript has 3 exons.